AGAACGAACGCUGGCGGCAUGCCUAAUACAUGCAAGUCGAACGAACACUUCGGUGUUAGUGGCGCACGGGUGCGUAACGCGUGGGAAUCUGCCCUUGGGUUCGGAAUAACAGUUGGAAACGACUGCUAAUACCGGAUGAUGACGAAAGUCCAAAGAUUUAUCGCCCAGGGAUGAGCCCGCGUAGGAUUAGCUAGUUGGUGAGGUAAAGGCUCACCAAGGCGACGAUCCUUAGCUGGUCUGAGAGGAUGAUCAGCCACACUGGGACUGAGACACGGCCCAGACUCCUACGGGAGCAGCAGUAGGGAAUAUUGGACAAUGGGCGCAAGCCUGAUCCAGCAAUGCCGCGUGAGUGAUGAAGGCCUUAGGGUUGUAAAGCUCUUUACCGAGAUGAUAAUGACAGUAUCGGAAGAAUAAGCCCCGACUAACUCCGUGCCAGCAGCCGAC
RNAcentral lists this ribosomal RNA (444 nucleotides) under uncultured soil bacterium. RNAcentral's name for it is "bacterial SSU rRNA". It matches the Rfam family "Bacterial small subunit ribosomal RNA", at positions 26 to 518 of the family's 1533-position model. The record is from RNAcentral.